AGAGGAAUAGCUAGGUCAAAUGGUGGUUCCAUUCCCAGAUUUCUAAGGAAUCUCCAUACUGCUUUCCAAAUUGGCUGCACCAAUUUGCAGUUCCACCAGCAGU
Molecule: microRNA precursor, 103 nt
Filed under: Marmota monax (woodchuck)
Lineage: Eukaryota; Metazoa; Chordata; Mammalia; Rodentia; Sciuridae
Source: RNAcentral